AUUGAACGCUGGCGGCAUGCCUUACACAUGCAAGUCGAACGGUAACGCGGGGCAACCUGGCGACGAGUGGCGAACGGGUGAGUAAUAUAUCGGAACGUGCCCAGUAGUGGGGGAUAGCCCGGCGAAAGCCGGAUUAAUACCGCAUGAGACCUGAGGGUGAAAGCGGGGGAUCGCAAGACCUCGCGCUAUUGGAGCGGCCGAUAUCAGAUUAGGUAGUUGGUGGGGUAAAGGCCUACCAAGCCGACGAUCUGUAGCUGGUCUGAGAGGACGACCAGCCACACUGGGACUGAGACACGGCCCAGACUCCUACGGGAGGCAGCAGUGGGGAAUUUUGGACAAUGGGCGCAAGCCUGAUCCAGCCAUGCCGCGUGCGGGAAGAAGGCCUUCGGGUUGUAAACCGCUUUUGUCCGGAAAGAAAAGCGCCGGGUUAAUACCCUGGUGUCCUGACGGUACCGGAAGAAUAAGCACCGGCUAACUACGUG
Molecule: ribosomal RNA, 482 nt
Filed under: uncultured bacterium
Lineage: Bacteria
Description: bacterial SSU rRNA
Rfam family: Bacterial small subunit ribosomal RNA
Source: RNAcentral